AGAAAGUUUGUUACCCGCUGGUUACAAGGAAACUCCCCUGUCCUACCUACUAGUCAGUUACCAGUUUGAGGUCUGUUUCCCCUGCAAAUCGCCGGCUAGAUUCAAAUUGUUUCUGCUUUCAUCCUUACCCAACGGACUAAAGCAAGUUCUUGCCUAAAACACACCGGGUUCAUCCCCGACUUCAGUCGGAGGGCCGCCGUCCAUCAUGACGUCUAUCAUCGGAGCUCACACAAAUCACCGCUAAAC
Molecule: long non-coding RNA, 246 nt
Filed under: Brassica napus (rape)
Lineage: Eukaryota; Viridiplantae; Streptophyta; Magnoliopsida; Brassicales; Brassicaceae
Description: long non-coding RNA (BNAP_LNC002944)
Source: RNAcentral